UGCCUAUACAUGCAGUCGAACGAACUCUGGUAUUGAUUGGUGCUUGCAUCAUGAUUUACAUUUGAGUGAGUGGCGAACUGGUGAGUAACACGUGGGAAACCUGCCCAGAAGCGGGGGAUAACACCUGGAAACAGAUGCUAAUACCGCAUAACAACUUGGACCGCAUGGUCCGAGUUUGAAAGAUGGCUUCGGCUAUCACUUUUGGAUGGUCCCGCGGCGUAUUAGCUAGAUGGUGAGGUAACGGCUCACCAUGGCAAUGAUACGUAGCCGACCUGAGAGGGUAAUCGGCCACAUUGGGACUGAGACACGGCCCAAACUCCUACGGGAGGCAGCAGUAGGGAAUCUUCCACAAUGGACGAAAGUCUGAUGGAGCAACGCCGCGUGAGUGAAGAAGGGUUUCGGCUCGUAAAACUCUGUUGUUAAAGAAGAACAUAUCUGAGAGUAACUGUUCAGGUAUUGACGGUAUUUAACCAGAAAGCCACGGCUAACUACGUGCCAGCAGCCGCGGUAAUACGUAGGUGGCAAGCGUUGUCCGGAUUUAUUGGGCGUAAAGCGAGCGCAGGCGGUUUUUUAAGUCUGAUGUGAAAGCCUUCGGCUCAACCGAAGAAGUGCAUCGGAAACUGGGAAACUUGAGUGCAGAAGAGGACAGUGGAACUCCAUGUGUAGCGGUGAAAUGCGUAGAUAUAUGGAAGAACACCAGUGGCGAAGGCGGCUGUCUGGUCUGUAACUGACGCUGAGGCUCGAAAGUAUGGGUAGCAAACAGGAUUAGAUACCCUGGUAGUCCAUACCGUAAACGAUGAAUGCUAAGUGUUGGAGGGUUUCCGCCCUUCAGUGCUGCAGCUAACGCAUUAAGCAUUCCGCCUGGGGAGUACGGCCGCAAGGCUGAAACUCAAAGGAAUUGACGGGGGCCCGCACAAGCGGUGGAGCAUGUGGUUUAAUUCGAAGCUACGCGAAGAACCUUACCAGGUCUUGACAUACUAUGCAAAUCUAAGAGAUUAGACGUUCCCUUCGGGGACAUGGAUACAGGUGGUGCAUGGUUGUCGUCAGCUCGUGUCGUGAGAUGUUGGGUUAAGUCCCGCAACGAGCGCAACCCUUAUUAUCAGUUGCCAGCAUUAAGUUGGGCACUCUGGUGAGACUGCCGGUGACAAACCGGAAGAAAGGGGGGGGAUGACGUCAAAUCAUCAUGCCCCUUAUGACCUGGGCUACACCCGGGCUACAAUGGGAAGGUACAAC
RNAcentral lists this ribosomal RNA (1233 nucleotides) under Lactiplantibacillus pentosus. Its description in RNAcentral is "bacterial SSU rRNA". It matches the Rfam family "Bacterial small subunit ribosomal RNA", at positions 45 to 1243 of the family's 1533-position model. Lineage: Bacteria; Bacillati; Bacillota; Bacilli; Lactobacillales; Lactobacillaceae. The record is from RNAcentral.